ACAUAACUGGUCUCAUAUAUAAUUCGAAUAAUAUUUUUGACACUUGUUAAGCUUUAGACAGCAAAAAGAGGUCAGAUAUCGAUUAAAAAAUAACCAUUGUCAAAAUAGUUUUAUAGUUUUGUAGUCGCAGUUAACCAAUAAUUACAAGGAUUUUCGAGUGGAUCAUAAAUCUUAUUGAAUGAAAAAAAGUAUUAUUUGUGUUAUAUUUUCAUUGAUUAUCUGACAAUAAAUUUCUUUGACACUUAAAAAAAAAAGUGAUUAAUUGAUUACACAACCUUGCCCCAUUUCUAAAUGCUGAAUAUGUUUAAAACGGACAUAAGUGAACAUUCAGCUAAUGUAUAUCAGUUAAAGAAAAUACUUUUUUCUGGUUACAGAUAUCACAUAGAAGCACAACACUGAAACAAUUGAAAACUAAUUUUGAUUUACGAUUAACUGUAAUAAAAAAAAAUCCAUAAUUAUAAUUAAAUUAUUACAAAAACGUAAUAGUUUAAAACACAAUUAACAUAAUGGUAAUAAAAGCAUUUCUUUCACUUCUUUGUAUGUUACUUGAAGUUCGCUGACCCGCUUGUAAAGUUAUCUUUUCAACAAAGUUACAUCAUUGUGAGGAAUAAGAAAAAAAAAAAAAAAUUCUCAAAACAUAAAUCAGAAUGGUGAUGAUGUAAUUCGGUGAAUAACUUGUUUAAGGCCUGCGGUGUGCGAGGGAGACUUAUGUUUUCUCAAAUAUAAUAUUUGCAGUAAGAAGUAACUACAAUACCUAAAUACAUGCUCUUUUAACAAUACGUUGUUAUGCCCGAAACUUCAUGUUAUUGGCAAGAAGAGCAAGUCUUUCUGACGUUUCUCGACCUUUCACCUCGAGUUCUUUCAUCCCUCUUCCUCACUCUCGGGUCAGAAAUCAAAGGUCAAUAUCGUGUUGGAUGUUUUACUCAGCCCGAGGCCAUUUCUCGUUAAAAUCUUAUACCAUUUUGAACAUAAAUCUAUCAAAAAGUCAGUUUUGGUGCAACACUAUCAGUUGAUAUUUCAGAAUAGAAAGAAACAUAAAAAUGACACAGUUAUUAAAAUAUGGGUUAUUGUGUUUGUAAAGUGUAUCUUUUCCAUAUUACGAAUUUUUUUUUGUGUUAAAUCAAACUUACA
RNAcentral lists this long non-coding RNA (1131 nucleotides) under Androctonus crassicauda. Lineage: Eukaryota; Metazoa; Arthropoda; Arachnida; Scorpiones; Buthidae. The record is from RNAcentral.